GAUGAAGAACGUAGCGAAAUGCGAUACUUGGUGUGAAUUGCAGAAUCCCGUGAACCAUCGAGUCUUUGAACGCAAGUUGCGCCCGAAGCCAUUAGGCCGAGGGCACGCCUGCCUGGGCGUCACACGUCGUUGCCCCCCCAUCUACUCCUUCGGGAUUGCGGGGGGCGGAUGAUGGCCUCCCGUGCGCCUCGCCGCGCGGUUGGCAUAAAUGCCAAGUCCUCGGCGACGCACGCCACGACAAUCGGUGGUUGCGAAACCUCGGUUGCCCGUCGUGUGCGGUCGUCGCGCAUCGAGGGCUCGAAAAAAUUGCUGGGUUCCGGCUCGGCUUUCAACGCGACCCCAGGUCAGGCGGGGUUACCCGCUGAAUUUAAGCAUAUCAAUAAGCGGAGG
This 390-nucleotide unclassified non-coding RNA is filed under the name soil metagenome. RNAcentral's name for it is "partial contains 5.8S ribosomal RNA, internal transcribed spacer 2, and large subunit ribosomal RNA". The stretch from base 1 to 122 matches the Rfam family "5.8S ribosomal RNA", at positions 35 to 154 of the family's 154-position model. The record is from RNAcentral.